This 818-nucleotide unclassified non-coding RNA is filed under the name Hevea brasiliensis (rubber tree). The record is from RNAcentral. Lineage: Eukaryota; Viridiplantae; Streptophyta; Magnoliopsida; Malpighiales; Euphorbiaceae.
GUUUAAUCUAAAAAUGGCUGCCGAGUCUGAAGAACUUAUGGCCCAACAUAUCAUAGAGCUCACAAAUUUCCCUGACUUUUUGGACUCUUCAAGCUUAAUCAUAAAAAUCCCAAUUGCCCGUUUAAGGUAAUUUUGGUCUCGAGCUUACUGCUAACAUGGAAGUAAAACGAUGGUGUCGUUUAUUCUGGAGCAAACGUUGAAGAUUGUUCAUGGCAUGAAUUGGGAACCUGUGUGGAAUGGGUCCCCCUCCCCAACGUGCUACGAAGUGGGAAGGCGACAAAACUCAAGGCCAGGUGGCCAACGGACACCGCUGGUACGGUGGUGCCACGAGUACAAUGUGGUUGUUAUAUGACGCAGACGGGAACGGGAAACCAAACCCUAGACUCCGCUUCAGAUCUCAUCCUAAUUUUUCACAUACCUCAAAUUCAACUAUCUUCAAUUCAACCCCUAUUAUCCAGCUUAUAACACCAUAAUCAUCUCGGUUAUGGUUUCCUUUUGCUACUCUUAAGCCAACUGUGCUGGCUCUGCUUCUCACUUGACAAGUUGGUGUGCAAGUUUAUCUCAAUUCUCUCUAUUUCUCAAAUUGUAUAAACCUGAUUUGCUGAGGUGUUUCUGAGUUUUUGAUAUUUUUGUUCUAAAAUCAUUGGGUUUCACGUGAAUUUGUUCGGAAGCUGAUUAUAAUAGUGUGGGUAGAAUUCUAGUUGUGUAUUUGUGAAUCGACUGGUAGGUUAGAUUAUUCAUCUGUGGUUUUGGAGAUUUGAGUGAAAUUAAUGGACACUGUUAGAUUUAUGGGUUUUGUGAAAUUUGAAUGGAAGAAU